UACCUGGUUGAUUCUGCCAGUAGUCAUAUGCUUGUCUCAAAGAUUAAGCCAUGCAUGUCUAAGUAUAAGCAAUUUGUACGGUGAAACUGCGAAUGGCUCAUUAAAUCAGUUAUCGUUUAUUUGAUAGUACCUUACUACAUGGAUACCGUGGUAAUUCUAGAGCUAAUACAUGCUAAAACCUCGACUUCGGAAGGGGUGUAUUUAUUAGAUAAAAAACCAAUGCCCCUGGGGGCCCUUUGAGGUUUCGUAAUAACUUGUCGAAUCGGAUGGGCGUUGCGCUGGCAGAUGGUCCUUCAAAAUUUCGCCCCUAUCACUUUGCAAGGUAGGAUAGGCGACGACCAGGUGGCUACGGGUCGCCGGCGAAAGUAAGGUCACGAUCCAGACAGAGAAGCGAGGAAAGGGGAAAGAUAUCCCGGAGAAGGGGGGGGGGGGGGAGAGGACCAAACCCGAAGGCGGGAGAGGAGUGAGAGAGAAACUAGAGACAGAGCGUUUUGAGCGUCUGGUGGAUUGAGACGAAGACGAUAUUAGUGCCCUUACGGAGGCAGCAUUGAGCG
This 554-nucleotide non-coding RNA is filed under the name Coccidioides immitis H538.4. RNAcentral describes it as "Eukaryotic small subunit ribosomal RNA". It matches the Rfam family "Eukaryotic small subunit ribosomal RNA", at positions 1 to 554 of the family's 1831-position model. Lineage: Eukaryota; Fungi; Ascomycota; Eurotiomycetes; Onygenales; Onygenaceae. The record is from Rfam by way of RNAcentral.